GUCAUCAUUUGUGCUUGGAUUAUAACAAAGCUUAAAGCUAUUUGCCCAUUACUUACAGAAGGCAGAAAACACCUCAAGGUAUACUCAAAACAGAACUUCAUGGCCAACUCUGCCUGGAGCAACUUUUGUCAGAGCAGCUGGAAUUGUUUUAAUUGUAGUUCCUAUAAUCAUCAUUGUAAUUGACUACUGCCUCUUCUGCAGAGAAGAAAAACAUGAUGGCCAUUCAAAUACCUAAAAAAAAAAAGCCCAGAAAAACUAUCAUUAUUCAUGGACUGCGAUUGACUUUGCACCUUCUGCUACUUCUGAUAACAGCUGUUGGAAGACACCAUGAAAGCACUAUUUUUCAGCCCUUCUUACUUUUUUAUUUGCACUAUGUUUUAACCCUGUGGUUUAUGGUCAGUGAAACAUAAGAGCUGCAAACCAAGCUAUUCAAGAGGCGAAGACUUGGUGCAAUUACUCACCACGUGGCAAACAUUAAUGACACAGCAGCUAUUUAGUUUGCUGAGUUAGGUGAGUGAUCUCACAUGUAAAAUUCUAACUUUCCACUUUCUAAGAAAUUAUCAUCAUCAGGACUGUAAUAUAAAGAAGAAAGCCUUGGAUAGUCCUGCACAAAGUGUUUUUAUGACACUGACUGGAACUUAAGGGAAGUUGAACUGCUUCAUUUCUUUAACAAUUUUCAUAUUCUUGUCAUUAUGACCCUACUACUAUGAAGCUGGCUUUGAAACAAAGUCAAGCAGAAGACAGAGUAUGACUUGGCAUGUGAGAAUGCUGCAGGUUUGCCAAAUGAAAUCUAAAACAGGAUUUAUUUUAAAAGAAAUGAAAACCUACUUUCACUGGCAGUAAAAAUUAUGAUUACAAAGAAUACGAUGGAAUCUAUCUGAAGAUUUGUCUCCGAGUAAACCAAUAUAACCAGUGAGAAAUUCUUGAUACUUAUGAAUGAUCAUGCAAAGGUCCAGCGAGAGUUUCAAAGUAAACGAACAAGUGGAAGAAAUUUACCUGCGGUACAUCCACAGCAACACUACUUCCUUGCCGGAUUUUAUGUGACUCAAUGAAGCCUCUUUCCAUGUCAAAUCUUUGAGUCUGUUACUCUCUAAAAGAAAAGUUUGUUCCUU
Long non-coding RNA from Motacilla alba alba, 1112 nucleotides. RefSeq lists it as uncharacterized. The transcript is spliced from 3 exons. The record is from RefSeq and is a predicted model, not a curated record. NCBI's taxonomy places the organism in Eukaryota, Metazoa, Chordata, Aves, Passeriformes, Motacillidae.